UUUUGACCUCGGAUCAGGUAGGGAUACCCGCUGAACUUAAGCAUAUCAAUAAGCGGAGGAAAAGAAACCAACAGGGAUUGCCCUAGUAACGGCGAGUGAAGCGGCAACAGCUCAAAUUUGAAAUCUGGCUCUUUUAGAGUCCGAGUUGUAAUUUGCAGAGGGCGCUUUGGCUUUGGCAGCGGUCCAAGUUCCUUGGAACAGGACGUCACAGAGGGUGAGAAUCCCGUACGUGGUCGCUGGCUAUUGCCGUGUAAAGCCCCUUCGACGAGUCGAGUUGUUUGGGAAUGCAGCUCUAAAUGGGAGGUACAUUUCUUCUAAAGCUAAAUAUUGGCCAGAGACCGAUAGCGCACAAGUAGAGUGAUCGAAAGAUGAAAAGCACUUUGGAAAGAGAGUCAAACAGCACGUGAAAUUGUUGAAAGGGAAGCGCUUGCAGCCAGACUUGCUUGCAGUUGCUCAUCCGGGCUUUUGCCCGGUGCACUCUUCUGUAGGCAGGCCAGCAUCAGUUUGGGCGGUGGGAUAAAGGUCUCUGUCACGUACCUCUCUUCGGGGAGGCCUUAUAGGGGAGACGACAUACCACCAGCCUGGACUGAGGUCCGCGCAUCUGCUAGGA
Molecule: ribosomal RNA, 610 nt
Filed under: Alternaria papavericola
Lineage: Eukaryota; Fungi; Ascomycota; Dothideomycetes; Pleosporales; Pleosporaceae
Description: eukaryotic LSU rRNA
Rfam family: Eukaryotic large subunit ribosomal RNA
Source: RNAcentral